This 200-nucleotide long non-coding RNA is filed under the name Elaeis guineensis (African oil palm). RNAcentral's name for it is "long non-coding RNA (EGUI_LNC035156)". Lineage: Eukaryota; Viridiplantae; Streptophyta; Magnoliopsida; Arecales; Arecaceae. The record is from RNAcentral.
CCUUGCCGAUCGAACCUCUUUCUAAUCGAAUCAAGGUUUGACGACCACCUCGUGAGCCAACAUUAAGGGGGAUGAUGGUUUAUGACCGGAUCUAAGAAUCUGAAUUUUAAAAAAAAAAACUAGAAGGGGAGGGAUGGAUCUUAUUGUGCCCUUCUUUUUCUUCAUUUCUUCUCGCCGAAUGGAUCUCUCUCCGACGGGAG